UACCUGGUUAAUGACGCAUGUGUGCUGGC
This 29-nucleotide non-coding RNA is filed under the name Homo sapiens (human). The record is from RNAcentral. Lineage: Eukaryota; Metazoa; Chordata; Mammalia; Primates; Hominidae.